AUAGAUUCGCCAUAGGCCUGUCCAGUUCCAACUCAAAAUCUGAAGGACCAUUUGAGGUCCAUUUUAUGGACCGCAUAACUUUUUUGUGGUCCGUUCCGUAAUCGCAUCAGAGGGAUAUUUUUGUGAAAUUCCUAACCCGAUUCUAUUCUAAUAAAAGAGCCUAAGGGUUCAUUUUAGAAGAAAAAUCUGAUCAUUUUAAGGGGAGAAGACACUAGAGAUACUAGGAAGAUCUCGAACAACUCCACACUUCUAUUUCUCACCAAUCUUGGGGAUUCAAGGGAGGAAACACAAAGGUCUUCUUCUAAGGAGGUAAGAGUCCCUAGCUCCCGUCCAAAGUUUAAGUGAUAAAUUUGUAACCAAAUUUUUUAUUGGUGGGGCUUAUGGGAUGGUAAUUAAAAUCCUAAGCCCUUAAUCUCGAAUUUUGGGUGUGUGUAAAGAAUAAGAGAUGUGGUUCUAGGGUUGGAAAAUGAAUGGUGGGGUAUGCAUGUGCCUAUAGGGGUUGUUGAUUGUCUUAGGAUUAUUGUGGGUGAAUUGCUGGUAAGAAAAUUGGUUGUAGAAUGAAGAAACUCCAUUGUUGGCAGUUGAAACCGAGGAUGCAUGCCAAGGAUUUGAUAAAAUGAUUAAAAGACGUAAGAUAUGCGAAUUCUUAUGAAUAAUGGUUCAAUUAAACAAUGUUAUUAUAGAUUGAAGUUGCUAAGAGUAGUAGAACAUCGUAGGGAUUCUAAGAAAAGCUCAAUUAAGGUAUGUUGGCUAAAAUCCUUCUAUAGAAUUGAAUUCCAUGAACCCCUUCUAUAUUCCAAAUAUGGUUUGCUCUAAAUCCUACUACUAACUCUGAAUUGCCUCGAGGAAAUGAUUUACCUGAUUCAUAUGUACUCAAGUAAUGAUUAAACUGCUAUCAUUACGCUUUUCUUCGGAAAAUAUUUCAAGUAUGGUUGAUCUAUCAAAUGCUUAUUAAAUUAAUCCAUGUUUCAAAGGUAAUCUCUAUGGUUUCCUUAUGGAAAUAUCUAUAUGUUCUUUCAAACUCUUACAACUCAUAUUUCGAUACUAUGAUUCUCCAAUAUUUUAAAUUAUCCUGUAUGUCAUAUGAUAAGCCAUGUCAAGAGAACGAACAUGAAAUGUGGUCUUGUUUCCAAAUGAAAAUAAUGAUGUACGACCCAAGGGCAAAUGAAAAGAAAAAGGACUUAUGAAUUACUUUAUAUAAAAUAUUUUUGGGAGUAUUGUAUGUAACCCAGAAAAUGUGGGUUAAAAGGACUAUAUCCGAAACUAUACGUACCGCUGUAGGAGCGAAUUGCGACAAAUCCCUUUUGCACCAUUAUGAGGUCAUUCUCAAAUAUUGGGAUAGUGUAUAUUGUAUUGUUAGCACAGACGCGUCGAUCCACACGGUAUUAUGGUAAGACGGCCUAGACGAUGAGGCCGAGAUUAGAGGCCAUGCCACUCACAUGGCGGUUAUAUGAUAUUAUAUCGGUAACUAAUGAUCUCUAACCAAAAAAAUACUAAUGUUUGUUUGAAGAUUUGCUUAUAUUUUAACCUGGUAUUUUAAAUACUACUGAUUUUCUUACUACUAAUUUUAACCUGGUAUUUCUUGUAUUGAUGUUAUUUUAUUAUGAUCUAUUGAUGGUACUAAUAUAUUAUCUCUUGUUGCUUUCUUGAGCCGAGGGUCUUCUGGAAACAGUUCUAUCCCUCGAGGUAGGGGUAAGGUCUGCGUACAUAUUACCCUCCCUAGACCCUACUUGUGGGAUUAUACUAGGCUAUUUUUGUUGUUGUUGUUUCGUGUUUCUCUCUCCUUAUGUUGGUGUUUCAUUCCAUUAGAGGGUACUUAGAUUUAAAUACUAGUACUAUCCCAUAUGUACUAACUUCCUUUUGCCUGGGGCACUGCAUCUUUAGGGGAUAUAUUUAGUACCUCAGCAGGCGACACAAACUCUUGAUAGGAGCGUACCCUCUCUUCAAUAGAUUUUGGUGAGCCCUACUUUAUAUCGAUGAUCAUAUGCUGUAUUGAUUCUGUCAUGACCCAAACUGAUGGGUCACGGCAGGUACUCGGUACCAUACUCGACCACUCGGUUACUAUGAACUCUAGAGGGGUAACCCUCAACUUAGGCCGAUGAGGCCAUAUUCUGAACAGUCUGAAAAUAACGACUCUCUAAUAUGUGGGAUAAAAAUACAUACAUACAUACAUACAUAUAUAUAUAUAUAUAUAUAGAUACAUACAUACAUACAUAUAUAUAUAUACAUACAUACAUAUAUAUAUAUACACACACACACACACACAUACGUGCAGGCAGACGAAGCCACCAUGAAUAUUUACUAAUAUACAAAAUAUACAUGACUCGUCUACAAGCCUCUAGAGAUAAAAUGAACUGUACCAUGGUCAGAGCAUGGUUUCGACCUAUCCAUUAAGUUUGUAUAUAUAAAAUGAACUCCAAGGUCUAGACCUGGUAAUUCGGGGGAAGUGGAGCUUACCAACCAAACUGAUAUUUGACUCUAUCUGAUGGGAAGGUUUGUCCAACUGUAUAUUAGGAGAUGCAAGCAUAAAAUGUAGCAUUCCCAGAAAAAAGGGAUAUCAAUACGAAAUAAUUUACUAAGUAUGUAAGGCAAAAAAAUAAGUGAAAGCUGAAGCUUAAUUGAUAAUAUAAUAAUUGAAAGUAACUGGGAGUCAAAAAUAAUAUGAAGAUAUGUUUACCUGUUGAUAUAGACUCAAUUCUCUCAAUAUAGUAAGUAAAAUAGUUAUCCAGCCCUAUAAAGCUCGGUAUGUAUAACUGCUCCACCAUAGUAGGCUUGCUAAUAGGUGCUCAGCCAUGCUAGGCUCUGUAUCUCAGCCAUUCUAGGCUUGCUCAUAGGCUCCCGCCCCCAGUAGGCUCGGUAUAUAACUAACCGUCUGAUCAGAGGUUGCCCAAUAGGGGCUCGCCCACUGAUUAUAGCUCGAUGGUGGUAAAAAUACUGUAAUAAUGUAUAUAUAUAUAUAUAGACCCUCUGCUCUCUUAACUUGAAGAAGACAUUACUCAAUUUAAUAUAAGUACCCAUAAGGGAGAAUACUGUAACUUGUGAGACUAUGGAUAAUGUAUAUAAAUUCGGAAGUAUGAACUUCUCUUUAUGCCUCGUUAUCAAACACAUAUAGUUACGAGAUCGUGCCAAAAUGAAGGAGGUAUUAUCCCUAACAUACUUGAACCGAUUCUCUUGACAAUCCUUCUAACCCACGCCAAUCGCGACGAAACACGUAACAAUGAGAUCGAAAUAGGGAGCAAUCGGUAAGAUAUUUUUGAGAAAGAUUGCACCACACUCCUUUAGAAUCGUAAAUCCCACGUUGCUAUAGUAUUAAAUAUUCUUCGUAUGAAACAUUUGAAGCUAUUACGUUGCUAUUUCAAAUCAACAUCUUUCCUGGAGCUUUCUCUCUUAAAUUAGCAGAGGUGAGCAAUUCAUUUUGGUGCAUAAGAGAGUUUAUUUUUAACCUUUAAGUGUGGGCCCCACUAGGAUGACUUAUCCUUGCCUAAAGGCCCCCUAAUUAGGCCACCUUACAUAAUAACUUAGGAGUCAUUAUUUUGGGAUGGCUUGCUGCCACGUCAGGGGGAAGUGGGUUAGACUUAUUAAAAUUGUCUUAAUUAAUUACCAAUUUCUUAAUUAACUUGAUAAUUUCUCACUAAUUCAAUAACUAACUAAUUUCUACAUAAUUAAGAAUUAUCUCAAAUUACUUAACAUACUACUUAUUUUUAUCACACGUUGUAUAUUUUACUAUCAUAGUCAUAUAGUACCUUGUAUGACACUAGUCCAUAAAUAUCGAGUAUUAUAUCUCAGAUCGUGUUUUGAUACCAAAUUGGCAAACUUCAACGAAACUCACUUUCUUCGAUUUUAUUACCCUUUCACCUUCACGAAUGUACUUAUCGCUUGUUUGGAAGAGCAUAAUACUUAUAAUCUCAAAAUAAUAUCAUUCCCGAACUCACGUUGAUUAACUUACGAUGAAACUUUAACGUACAAAAAUACAUAAUAUAACACCUUAUUUCUGAGCUUUUAUCAAUUUACUUAUGGGGUACUUUCACGUACGAAAACAUGGGGUGUAACAUCAUUCCCCUCUUUGGAAUAUUCGCCCUCGAAUGGUGACUGAUGCACUUGUCAUUCUUAUAACAUAUAGCUCGUGCGAAUACUAUAGUACUUUCCUUGCCAUCUCUGUCGUGUGAAUAAAUCCAAAGGCAUAGGAAUCCCCUUUCCUUCUCACACCACGGCCUGUGGUCGGAAUUUUUCCAAUCUCGUAACUUUUGCUACCUUUUAUUGUGCAGCUUGUACGACUCUGACCUUGUAUGUGUGCCUAUCCGAUUCUUACCUCCUUUUUUCCUCCAAUUUUUAGCCAAUAUCUAGGCCUUACUUUGUGAACGUAUAUAGAUCUUAACAAGAUGUCCCUCUAGGCAUAUAUGGGUAUACUGAAGUUCUUCGGUCGGUACUUUGUCAAACUUACAAAUAUUGCUAUAUCUUAUUUCAUAGACCCGGUUAUCUAUCCGCAUGACUUUACUGUAUCUAGGUAGGUCAAACUAUACCAUAACUCUUACUUCAAUUUAUGUUAUUAAGGUCUACUACCAAACUUCACGUGAUUCUCGUUGCUUAUCCUACAUGUAUAAUUCUAAAUCAUUUAAUUCUUUUUCCUUGCCGUUCAUCUUAAGAAUGGUUGCCUAAUCUCAUAUCGUACUUUGUAACUUUUAUCUAUCCAUUGUUAAUUCACCUCAGUGUUGAUUUGCAAUGAAACCUCUUACGUAAUACGCUAUCAAUAAGGCUUACGUCUCAUCGGGGGAUAUCUAAAGUGAUUAGACUGAUCCACUUGGGGGCGAUACUAUACUUCCAUAACCAUAUUUCAUAACAUCCCAAUGUGUUCAAUUACGUGGGUAUUUUAAUGCUGUACAAUUCUAGAAAUCCUUUUUUCCCAAAUCAUUACUCAAUCAAAUUCCCAACAUCAUCCUUUAUCUAUCACAGUUAUAGCCUUAUUCUAUUACCGGGGCAUCAUUCCAUCUCUUCUAAAGGCUAUUAGGCUUAGACUCCUUUGAGUUCAUUCGGGUUAUACUGAACUUUUUAUAACUUAGAGAAACCAUUAGCUAUCUUGUUUUUAUGGGCUUAAUCCUGAGGACUUAUCCAUGCUCGUCACCUUCUCACUCGCCUUUUCUUGUCCUUACUCAUGCCUUUCUUAAACCUUGUCGUUUUGACAUACUUUAGCUUGCGACUUACACAUAUCUACUAACACUACUCGCAACCUUCCCUCAACUUUCUUUCACCAUAGAUUUCCUUAUAUUAUUCUGGAACAUCAAGCGAGACAUCGCGUUGUCUCCAACUCUUCUUUACUCUUUUGACUAGAUUACCUAGAAAACAUAGGCUGGAAGAUAUGCCACUGACGAUGCCGCUAUCAUUCCUGGAUACUAAAUCCUCGCGCUUCUAGACUUCUAUCUGAAGUAUGGACUCUUUACAACCUUCUGCAUUUUAAUAUCUCGUACAUUGUUCACAUUUACCUUACUUACCUUAAAAUCUUGCAUUAUAUCUUCUAUUUCCUUCAAGACCUCCCUUCCACACAGAUAUAUUUCACAUCAACAACUUGAAUCUCUAUCAUAACACUUGCACCUUUGGUGCAUACACAAUCCGGUGGGAGCUUUAUAUUGACUUCUUUUUUGGUACUCUUCUAACUAGCUUUAUUGUAGAGCCAUUAAAAAAUAUGGCUACUAUACUGUCUCUCUUGUACCUUUGAUAUUAAGAGUGAUUCUGCAAUGUUCUUAAUCACGAGGUUUAUAAUUGUUCAGGUCCAAUAAUUAGACUCUUGAUUUAUUUUUUUUAGGUAAUCCACUAGGCAAGAGCCUAGGGCUAGGUUUUUAUUAAUAGCAAAAAAGAAAAUAUAACAAUUAGAAAAAGUAAAAAUAAAGUGGCAUUAGCACCAAUAUUGUUACCCAUAUAACACAUACCAGGCUAAACUUACCAUACUAAAUCCUAUUGAGGCUUGACAACCUCACUUAUUAACAGGAAUACAAAAAAUACGAACUUUACAGGACCAAAUAUUUUAUGAUCAUCACAGUGUUUAUAACAUACUCUGUGAUGAGAUUACAAUUGAGGAUACUAAUGAAGUGGUAGAGUAAAAUAUAGUACCCAAUUGAUUGUUGUCCCUUAUUUUCCAAACUUGUAUAAUCUUCAAGUUGUACUUCUAUUUCGUUGUCCUCCAGCUUGUUCAAAAGGUAUUCAACAAUUAUCUUUUAUUUUUUGACCGGUUGGACUUCCAUGACGUAUUUUUAGCAGCCUGCUUUUGUUUGGAUCUUCAAUUUGUAAUUCUUUAUCAACAUCAUCCCAAUUCUUCAAGAAGAAUUCAAAAUUCUGAUUUCUUUUUAGAUUGAUUGGACUUUGUUGAUGUAGUUGGGGCGACCUGCUUAAGCUUGGCAUUUCUCAUCGGAGGUCGUCUAACAUUGUCGUCCUUGCUUUUUUCCUUUGUUUGAGACUUUUGUUCCUCUGUAGCAUUAAUUUGGACUUUUUCGACGCAUUGUGACACACUUCAAUUAAGUCACCUUCUUCUGUUGUCCGAUGAUUUGGCAUGUGUAUACCACCUUGUGCAUCCAAGUUUGGUGCAUCUUGUGAUUUAAUAUCGCUUUUCUUGAUUUGUUGUUGUAUAUGUACCUCAUUCCUGCUCCUAUUUGCACGUUUAGCGCUAUAAGGAUCACGACCCAAUUCAAAGGGAUGUGCAUUUAGCAUUGCAUCCAAUAGUUGUCUAUCAUGGGAUAAAAAAUCUGUUGUACUGGUCAUACUUAUUGGUUUCUACCCAGAAUUGACGUGAAGCUGUGUGUUACUACAGGAUCCUACGUCCUCCGGUGUGCUCAAUUCUUCAUUACUUUUAUAACCUCGUUUGUCACUGGCUCGAGACACCACCUUGUCCAUAGAAGAUCCUACUUCUUCCGGUGUGCUCAAUUCUUCAUUACUUUCGUAACCUCGUUCAUCACUGGCUCGAGACACCACCUUGUCCAUAGAAUCCAAUAGUUUUCUUUCCUCUGCUGAAAUGAUUGCACUGGUUUGAACAACUGCUGCUUUGCCACUGCCUUGAAAAGAUGAGGCCAACACUUGACCAUUUUGCUCAAGAUUUUCGACAUUUUCAAAUAGACACAGCUGGCCCACAUGGUUACUAUUCAAAUUUUGCACAGUAGUAGCGCCACUUUUUGCCCAAAUGAGCCGACACCGAAAGCAUAAUGUUUCUCUUUCAUGUGUUACUACAUCAUCAAGUUUAUUAUUAAUUAUGGAUAUUGGAUACCCAUUUUGUUUGGUUGAGCCCACAUGUACAUCUUCACCCGUUGAAAAAACAACAUCUUUACUAUUUUUUAGCAGCAAAUUUGUUCUCCUUUUCCUUCAUAAUCACACUCCCCACAUGACCCACCUCCUUUUCCUUAAAUUGGUGCACGCAAUUUCUUUUAUGACCAAUUGAGGAUUCCUGUGUGUGACCUCCUUUUGAAGUUGUAGGAAUUGAAUUUUUAAUUCCUUUGAGUGGACCAACUGCCAUAUGCUUGUCUUUUUCAAAAAAAUCAUAGCCCUCUUUGUUGCACUUUGAAUUAUUUUAACAUCCUUGGCAGCCUUUUGUGUAGUCAAACUACUAAAAGUGACAUUAGCAUCACUAAUGCUUAAAAGACAACGCUGGCCCGCAUACUUUUGCUCUUGUUUGUCAAUUUUUUCGGCCAUGCCUUUGUUCUUUUCAACAAUUUGUUGAAUGUUAUAAUUAUCAUAGUGUGCAUGUGAGCCCACAAAAUCAAUUACAUGCCUCACUAGCUUGAUAUUUCUUUGUUGCACAGUAAUACCGCAACUUUUUUGGCCUGAUGUGCCCACACCAAAAUCAUGGUGAUGCUCCUUCACACUACCUAAGUCACCCAUCUCCUUUUCCUUUACGUCAAUCACAUGAUCAAGAUGGCCCACGUGUUUGACCACUGUUUGUUCAUCCCGGUCACUUGGAUUUGUUGUUGUAGCAACUGGAACGGAUACACCACUAUCUAUAGUUGUUCCCACGUGUUUGACCACUGUUUAUUCAUCCCUGUCACUUGGAUUUGUUGCUGUUGCAACUGGAACAGAUACAGCACCAUCAAUAAUUGUCCCAACUUCUUGUGUUUAAUGACCAUUUUUACCCACGGUUACUGCAUUACUCUCUAGUGGUGCCUUAGCAUUCCCUUUAUCAUUGAUCACAACGUUAAUUUUCUCUGCUUGAUCCCUAGGUAAAAACCGUUGUUCAGUAAAAACCUGUUCUGCCUCUUGAUCCCUUGAUUGCCCAGCUCUUUUGGUAUUGAGGUAAUUCCUGGCAUCACCUGUUAAUUUGUCAAGCUUACCCGAGCCUUCUACUACCUCCACAUGAUCUGCCUCUGUCGUUUUUUCCUCAAUCUUCCAUCGACAUGACUUUUCACCAUGUCCUUGAUGUUUACAAACAGUGCAAUAUUUUGGUAGAUUAUCAUAAACAAUAUGUUGAUAAUAUUCGACCAACUUACCAGAUUUUAAAUCCCCAAUCUUAAUCUUGAUCCUUUUAGGGUGUUUGUCUAGUAAGUCAAGCAAAACUUUAACCCUAGCCGUACUAGGUAGCGUUCUAUCUUGUGUUGCUUUAUCAACUGCUAAAGGUUUUCCAAUUGCAUAGGCUAUGGACAUUAAAGAUUUUUUGCAAAAAAAUUUGCUGGGAGAUCAGGUAAAGAUAUCCAAACCACUGCUUUGGACGUUUCUUCUCUUAGAUUAAUUGUCCAUGGAAAAGUUCUAAAGAAGAACUUAUCACCCUUAAACUUAACAUGACCAGUAGAUUUUGAAAUUACUUGUACAAAAUCUUCACAAAAAUCAAAUCUUACCAAUAUGUGCCUAUAUUCGAGCUGUCCAAUAUUGCAAAAACCUUUGACAUCGAACUGUUUCAGAAUCAACCGUCGUGGAGCUAUCCAAUAUUGCAGAAACCUUUGACAUCGAGCUGUUUCGGAAUCAACUGUCGUAGCUCCUGAAGAUCAGGUUUUCCAUACGAAUACUUGAGGAUAACUGCUUGGUGUAAUCCCUCUUCGAUGGUGAAUGAGUUCACCUCUUCAGUGGUGAACUGAACAACAAGUUCUCCAUGUUCGAAACUUACUGGACAAAGCUCCAGUUUUGACGUUUUUGCAGCAGAAAAUUUUCCAGCAAUCUGUGAUGCAUACGUUAGCUUGGAAUUAUUGAUUGUUGGGUUUUGUCAGGUGUUUUGGAUUGCCUCUCCCACAGCCAAAGGCUUGGGAGAGGUUGCCGCAACCAUGGCUUCCCGCUAUGUGAAGAAGACGCUAGAGAGAGAAAGUAGAGAGAAUGUUGGGUUUUGUGAGGUGUUUUAGAUUGCCUCUCCCACAGCCAAAGACUGGGGAGAAGUUGCCGCAGCCAUGACUGCCCGCUACGUGAAGAAGACGCUAGAGAGAGAAAGUAGAGAGAAAAAAUUGGAAUUUCUCUUGAUUUACUUAGUUGAUGUAAAUCUUGAGUUUCUUCUUCCUUCUGAUCAUCUUUUAUGUAGGCUUAAGCUAUCUUUUGAUAUGCGACUCAUGGUUGUUAUUACUCUAGUCUGUCAUGGACGCUAUGGAAUAUACAUGAUACAAUCUUCUAACAAUUCAAUCCUUUGUCUAUGACCUGGACUCAGUUCAUUCUUUUAACUUAUACUAGAGUCUUCUACGACUGUAUGAUUGUAAACAUACAUGCUACAUAGUACCCCAAAAAUUUAAGUGCAUUCAUAAUGUAAUUAACUCAGGAUCAUUUAUCGAAUAAUUCCUUUCGUUCCUUCUCAGCUUUCUUUAAAUGUAAGCUAUUACUUUUUCUUGUCUUUCUACCCCUUGUUCCGUGCAUACUUAGCUUAUCUUAGUUCACCCACAUGCCGGAAUUUUUUUGCAACUCAUAUGAUCUUGAAUAUUACUUUUGGUUUUCCUUCUCGUUCAUUAUCCACUGUAGGUUCCACUUUCUUAUGUAGUUAAUACAAUGUUGUUAUGAGACUGUUGUUACACGACCAUUUCCUCUUUAAGUCAGUAUUCUUAGGUUGAAGCAUUCUUCCUUAUUUCCUCAGCUAGUCUUUCAUUGUAGUACCUAGGGAGGACCCUAUGACUCUUAUAAAGCUGUGAGCUUAUUACAUUGUAUUUCUGAUAGAAUUUUUGAUGUUCAUGCUCACUUGAAAUUAUCCUUACUUACUUACCACCAUGCCUUUAUGCUAGUAGUGUGUUUUCUAAACUUAAAUUUUGAUUGGUUCCCAGUGGAACUCUCUUUUAUUUUCGUAACACUCAUACGAUAUCUUUAACUACCGCAACUUCUAUCUAAAUAUUUCUCAAGGAUCAUGAUAUCAUUAUCUACGAGACUAGAUUCACUAUGCUGGGAUUCACUAUGUUUAUCUUGCAUGUUUUGUUGAUUUGUUUAUUGCCUCUAGUCUCAACUCCUAACUACUUGUUGACCCAUUCUCAUAUUAAUAUUUCGCUUUAUCUUUAUUGGGUUAUUUACUUUGUCUUAACUUACAUCUCGCAGUAGCUCCUUAUUAUCAAUAGCAUCUCGGGCAGUAACCCUUACUUCCUUUCCUUGACAUCCCAUUCGUAUAAUGUUCUGGAAUCGUAGCAUACCUGUAGGAUUUGAAUAAAUACAAUCUCAUCCCUUUCUCAUUUUUAUCGCAUUUUUCCUUACCAUUCCAUAGUUACUAGAAUCACUUAAUUCUGACUUAAUGCCAAAUCACUCAAUAUCCCCCCUCCCCCUUGGGGAGUACUAUGAUUUAGUGCUACGAUGAUCUAUCUAUAAAUGUUUUGCCUCUUCAUCUUUGGCAUCUUUUCACACCAUCGAUGACCCUUACUCGCCUUGCGGUAAUCCUUCUGUACCAAGAAUAAUAAAUUUCCUUGCUCGCGAGGGUGACACUCACUAUAAUUGGCACAUACCAUCCCUUAAGCUGAACUUUGCUCACAUUGCUAGCUUUAGCGAAGCAUCUUCCUAAAUGACCAUUCUAUGAAUUUCUCGCGAAUCUUCUUCUGUUGUCCAUUCUAUUAUUGUUGGAACGAAAUAUGAUGUUCUCAUGAUGCCGAUCAUUAUCAAGUCACUCAGUCCCUAAUUCAUGUUCAAUUUAACUUGUUCAUAUGUUCAUACUGAUUUCCAUUACUCUAGGUCAAACAUUUCCUUCUGGUAGUCGUGUUGGGGUCACAGCUUAUUUCUCAAAAUGAGGAUAUGACUUUAUUUCCUAUACUCUUUUGUUGUCUUAAGGCCUAUCACCUCUCGUCUUUUACUUCACUUGACUAUGGACUCUGUAAUAUUGUCAUUUUUUAUCUACCAUUGUCAUCCAUGUAUCAUAUCCUACUCAUAGUGCUUUACUAUCUCUCUUCUUAUUUCCCUUCUAAUAUUUCUGUCUAUCACUUUAUUCUAAGAACUUCAAGAAGACAUUCAUUUUGCUUUUAGCUCCCUUUGGUCCAUCUACUAGGUCUUCGGGUUGCCUAACAUUCUCUCUACUAGGGACAUAAGCCACACUAAGAUAAUAUUUAUCCCUUCCAGAUUUUCAGUGCCUAUCUUUGUACUAUUCGUAUUUAGCUAUACUAUUUAGAGUGAACUAUUUAGGUGUCUCACAAGGAGAUCUAUUAGCACAUUUGCAGUAUCAUUCAGAAAUGUCAACUAAUGCAAACAAUACUUCCACCAUAUUGGGUUAUUCUAACCCUAGUUGCAUCAUGAUAUCCCGUCCUUCUCUUAAACUAUAUUUGUUAGCUCCCAUAGGGCAUAACUGAGAGGGGUGUGGCCAGUUGUACAUACCUCAGUUAUAGUUGAAGGUAACUCAAAAUGCUUAUAUCUCUCUUCCUGAAUUAUAGAUAAUGAUCAUUUUCACUAACUGGGUACCUCGUACCAUUCUUCACCUUGCUUCUUUUACUUGCUGAAACAUGUAUCUAUCUUCUUAAUCUCUCAUUGACUUAUACCAUAGCGGUGGAUAGAUAUCUUUGCCUUAAGGUUCCUUAUUAAGAGGCUUACACGUCUUAGUACACACAUGAUCUACUGAAUACCUUACAUUUUCUCAUCAUAAACAUCAUGAAAAAUUGAGUUCCUCUGACUCAACUCUUCCAUAACCACAUCCAAUCUCUUACCAACUGUCUUUCUAAAUAUAGGCGUCGUCGUAUUAUGAAUAAGAUAAAGUUUAGGAAAGUAAUUCUUACAAUUGAGCUCUACCACACAAUCUAGAGUAAGAAGAAAGACUAACAGUCCUAAAUGCCAUGUAGCCUCCUGCUUAUAAGUGUGGUGCACAACAUACUCAUAAAUAAGACUCUACUAGACACAACCUGUAGAUCUUUAGGGUAGACCUGUUGUGAUACCACUUUUGUCACGACCCAAACCUAUGGGCCACAGCGGGUAAUCAGUGCCAUACUCCGCUCGAGCAUACCAUCUGUAACUGUGAACUCUGGAAGGGUAACCCUCAAUUUAGGCCGAUGAGGCCAUAUUGUGAACCGUCUGAAAAUAAAGUCUCUCUAAUCUAUAGGGUCAGCAUACCCAAAAGAUGAUAUAUAUAUAUAUAUAUAUACAACGUUAAUUUUUACAAGGAUGACGUACUUUUACGUACGAAAACAUGGUUGUAAUAGAUUUCUUCUAAAUUAUUUUUGAGGUAUAGACUGGGCUUUUUCACCGGCACUUUCAUACUUUUUUCAUUUGUAUUCAAUGGCUCCAUAUACACACUGUGUGUCACAUAUGUAUCGGGAAGAAUUACAAAUAUUGUUUUUGUCAUUUACUUCCACUUGUAAACUAAGGAGUUUUAUAAUUCCAUUAUGUACCUACAAAACGUUUUAAUUACUGGGAAUUAGUGUUGUUUUCUCCUAUCUUCUCAAUCAACUAUCUCAUGUUAUUCCACUAAUAUACAAAAAUACAGGACUCGUCUACAAGCCUUUAGAGAUAAAAUGAACUGUACCAUGGUCGGGGCAUGGCCUCGACCUAUCCAUCAAACCUUUAUAUAUAAAAUGGACACCAAGGUCUAGACUUGGUAACUCCGGGAAAGUGGACCUUACAAACCAAGCUGAUGUUUGACAUUAUCUGCUGGGAAGGUUUGUCCAACUGUGUAUUAGGACCUGCAGGCAUGCAAUGCCGCAUUCCUAGCAAAAGGGACAUCAAUAUGAAAUAAUGUACUGAGUAUGUAAGGAAAUAUAAUAACUGAUAGCUGAAGCUAAACUGAUAAUAUAAUAACUGAAAGUAACCGGGAGUCAAAGAUAAUUUGAAUAUAUGCUUAACUGUUGAUACUGAGUCAAGUCUCUCGAUAUUGUAAACAAAAAGUUGCCCGAUCCUAUAAGGCUCGAUAUGUGUAACUGAUCCACCAUAGUAGGCUCUCUAAUAGGCGCUCGGCAAUACUAGGCUAUAUAUCUCAGCCAUUCUAUGCUUGCUCAUAGGCGCUCGUGCACAGUAGGCUCGAUAUAUAAAUAACAGUCUGAUCAGAGGUUGCCCAAUAGGGGCCUGCCCACCAAUUAUAUCUUGAUGGUGGUUAAAAUACUUUAAUACUAUAUAUAUUUAUAGACACUCUUCUAUCUUGACUGGAAGAAGACAAUACCUAGUUGAAUAUAAAGUCCUGAUAAGGGAGAAUACAUAUUAAUUAGGGAGUAUGAAAUACUCUUUACGCCUCAUUAUCAAACACAUGGAGUUACGAGAUCAUACCAAAAUAAAGGAAGAGCUUAGCCUUAACAUACCUUAACUGAUUCACUUAACAAUUCUUACAUACGUCAAUCGUGACAAAACAGGUAAUGGCGACAUCGAAUUAGAGAACAGUCUGUAUGAUAUUCUUGAGAAAGAUUUCACCAUACUCCCUUAGAAUCUCAAAUCCCACAUUUGUAUAGUAUUAAGUAAUUUUCGUAUGGAACAUUUGAAGCUAUUACAUUGUGAUUUCAAAUCAACAUUUUUGCUGAUGCUUUCUCUCUUAAAUUAGUAGAGCUGAGCAAUUCACUUUGGUGAAUAAGAGAGGUUAUUUUUAACCUUUAGGUGUGGGCCACACUAGGAUGACUAAUGCUUGCCUAAAGGCCCCUAAUUAGACCACCCUACCAUAGUAAUUUAGGACUCAUUAGUUUGGGAUGGCUUGCUACUAUGUCUUAGGGGGAGGGUGGGGGAGGGGGAUGGGUUUAGUCUUAUCCAAAUUAUCUUAAUUAUUACCCAUUUCUUAAUUACAUUAGUAUUCCCCACUAAUCUAAUAAUUAACCAAUUUUUCACAUAAUUAAGAAUUAUCUCAAAUUACUUAAAGUACUACUCACUUUGUCACACUUUGCACAUCUUACUAUCAUGGUCGUAUGGUACCUUGUAUGGCAUUAAUCCAUAAAUACGAGUAUUAUAGCUCGGACUAUGUUUUGAUUCCAAAUUGUCAAACUGUCGACGAAACUCACUUUCUUUGAUUGUCUUAUCCUUUAACCUUCAUAAAUUUACUUAUCACUUAUUUGAAAUAGCAUAAUACUUAUAAUCUCAAAAUAAUCUCAUUCCGGAACGCACGUCGAUUAACUUACGACGAAACUUUAACAUACAAAAAUACGGAAUGUAAUACCUUAUUUCCGAGCCUUUUACAAGGAUGACGUACUUUUACGUACGAAAACAUGGUUGUAAUAGAUUUCUUCUAAAUUAUUUUUGAGGUAUAGACUGGGCUUUUUCACCGGCACUUUCAUACUUUUUUCAUUUGUAUUCAAUGGCUCCAUAUACACACUGUGUGUCACAUAUGUAUCGGGAAGAAUUACAAAUAUUGUUUUUGUCAUUUACUUCCACUUGUAAACUAAGGAGUUUUAUAAUUCCAUUAUGUACCUACAAAACGUUUUAAUUACUGGGAAUUAGUGUUGUUUUCUCCUAUCUUCUCAAUCAACUAUCUCAUGUUAUUCCAUCCUAAAUUAUUCAAAGUUAAGGGUAGGGAGUAGACACUAAGAAGGAUGGCUUGAUUGGGUUUUCUCAGUUGAGCACUAGUCCUGAUCCCCAAGGCCGAGGCGUGAUACUUGAGAGGAAUGGUGGUUUGGUUUCUGGAGAUCUGAGAGUAUUUUAGAACACUUAGUUCCUAAUUUGAGGCCUUAUUUAGGGAGAGCUAACCAAGGUUUUACUUUUACGUACAAGAACCUCCGAUUGGUAUUUUGAGGGUCCAAUAGGUCCGCAUAUUAAUUUAGACUUCUACAUAUAUUUGUUUGGGCCUCGAGUGAGGGAUUGAUUCAACGCUUCUGGUUGAAAGUUGAAGUUAUCAACUAAAGAAAGUUUGAAGAUUUUGGUUUAAUAGACGAUCCUUAAUUUUGAUGUUGUUUGUGAUGUUUCGAGGCUUUCAUAAGUAUCGAUUAAGUAUAUGAACUUGUUAGGAUGAUUGGACGGGGUCCCGACAGGCUCAGAUGACCUUCAAUGUAGUUUUAGACUAUUUUGCGCUAAGUUGAGAUUGCUAGUUUUCUGGUAUCAGGCAGUGUUGAUACUCAAUUGUUUUCUAUAUAUUUUUAAUAUAUAAAAUACUUUCAAAAUAAUAGUAUGCAUAUAUAGGUAUGUCCAAAUAUGUUAUUAUUUUCCCCCAAUUGUUAAAGAUUUUUAAAUGAAUUUAUUGCUCCAUCUUAUAUCGAAAAAACCAAUAAUUAUUACCAAAGUUAUCAUUUUGGUGAUUUAUUUAUUGGACUCUCAUAUUAAUGCUAAAAUAUAGCUAAUAUAAUUUUUACAUAUUUUUACAAGUUUAUUUAGUAUCUUUAAACUAAAUUGCAUAUAAUUGCAAUAUUAGCAUCUUUUAGAUUUAAUUACGUUUAUGCCUAUAACAUUUAGGUUCAACAUUUUUAAAUUAAUAAUUAUGCAUUAUUAAUUAUUUUAGUACCCUUAAUUUAUUUCCAGAAAUUACUUUACUAUUUUAUAAUAUAAAUUAGGAAAAAGUGGAUAUUUAAAAUAUAGCCCAAUUGUGUUUCAAUUAUGGCUAUUAUUGAAACCCCAAUUUGUAACCCAAUUACCCUGAUCCAAUCCCCAUCUGAACCGACUCAUACCUGACCCCGUUAAACCGCUCCACGUACUUGAUCAAUCCAAGUCAUUGAUCUAAAUGAUCAACGGCCACCAAGUCUUUUUUCAUUUAAACGACCCCUAAUCCUAACCCCAUUUGACACCUCCAGCCGCCUCUGAAUCAUAAUUCUCUCUCAAACUCUUUCAAAAAACUUAGCUGCCACCUCAACCACCAACUAAGAUCAUCCAAAUCAAUGGCUUCCAAAGCCAUUAGAGGCCUGUAUCUACCUCACUUGGCUUCUAUGUGUUCGAGUACUAUGGUUUCAAGUCCAGACCUUGAAGAAUCUUGGCCUACACUUUGGUCGAUCUUAGUUUUUACGGCUGUUUCCGGUCAUCUUUUACCUUGCUCCGGUCGGCCAUGGCUAUUCAAGCCUGAUUCUUGACUUCUCCUGCUUAGAUCGACGAUUGUCCAAGCCUUUCUCACCAUCUGGGCUUCUAUUGAAACCCUAAUCUUUGAGAUUCUUCUGAUUUAUUUUAUAUCUGUUUACAUCCAUGUUUUCUAUAAACUUCACAACGUUUGUCUCAAGGUUUCUUCAAAACUUUACCUUCAAAACUCCUUGCCUUUUUCGAUUUAGGGUUUUGUUAAAUUAUUUUGAAGUUUUCUCCGAUUUUUCUACAUGUUCUACCGUGUUUCCUUAUGUCGUUUUUUGAUUGGAUUUUGCAUGUUAAGAGCCUUAACCUUUUUUAGACUUCUGAAUUUAUUUUGUUAGUAUUUUGCCCGACUUACUUGUUUUUAAUCUUUGUACUCGAUUGAUGGUGAAAACCCUAAAAUUUGGGGUUCGUUCGAGUUCUGUUACUUUUUUCUAUGUGAUUUACUUUUUGUCAUGCAAUGAAUUUGAUUGAUUUCAAAACCCUAACUUCUUUGGACCUAUUCGAGCUUCUAAUGCUGCUUCAUCUGUUGCUCGACUAGAUUUGCAACCCUUUUCGUUUCAACCUCUAUUUCUUUAUGUGAUUUUGGCUUUCUGCUAUCAUGGAAAUUGGACUAUGUUUUCAGAAAGGUCUUUUUACUUUAAUUUUUACAUGCUUCUGGUACUCUCACUUUUCUCUAUUAUUGAGUUGGUGAAAUCAACCUAUGUAACUACCAUAUUUCGAUAGUUCAUUAGCUACUGACUUUGUGUUUGCUAUUGCAUGACAUUUCUCUUUGUCAUGAGUUCAUGCCUUGCAUGCCUAAUAUUUAUGCACUCUUUUAUAUGCUAAAUUUCCCUCUAAAAUGACCUUCAAUGUUGGUCCUUGUAUAAUUUUGAUUGCACUCGUGUAAUUGAUCUUUUCCUUGUUUUACUGAUUUUCCCUGUUUCUUUGAUUGAUUUGAAAACUUCCCUCUAGACUUUCAAUUCUUUUGUCCUUAGUUUGGUUUAUUUGUUUAUUCAUGUAACCCCAUGUUAUUCUCUCCUAAAUCAGUAAUUUUGAAUCUGUGGCUCCUUGAUUUACUGGGAGCUGAUUGUCUCCAUAUUUUGCAAAUCUAUUGUGUUUCCUACCUUAUUUGGUUAAUCGAGUAUCUUCACUGAUUCAAUAAUUGUUGUUUCCUUAAUUGGACCCUAUGUACUUACCCCUAAUUGUCUAUUCUAUACAUGGCGUUCUACUUGAUUUCUUUCCUUAAAUGUUUUCUGCCCAUUGCAGUUUAAUUUUAACUCCUUAAUUAAAGGAGGUCUUAUACUGAUUUGAUUUUAAUUAGUACAUAGUUCCAUAAUUACUGCUAAACUAUGAUUCUUGCCUUAUUUUCUACCUACUUUCAAAGUAUAAAUACCUUGCUCUUUCGUUAACACACGAACACUCUUAGUUUCUGAACUCACAUGAAAAAGCAUUCUCUCUUAUUACUUAUACCAUGGCCUGUCUUCAAAGUCCUUCUACCUGCUUUUACUGCAUUUUGCUUCUUCUAAGUAGUAGGUUAUGAUUAAGAUUCUUAGCAUCAAAACAAUAUGUUUACUUAAUACUUUUACCUUCUUGUCUGCCUACUGUUUGUGUUUAGUUCAGUACUUAUUUUAGCAUGUUGUAAUUCCUGCUGCCUAUUCUACAUCUAUUAUGCAUCCUAAAUGUGUUUGAUACUGAUAGUUUGUUUGAGGCAUGACAGUAUUAAGUAUUGCUGUCUAUGAUUCAAACUUGAUUCCGCUGGGAUGAUAACCUCUAUGUUACCAUUACAUAUUGUGUAAACUAGUUGAUUUUGUAAGCAUAACAGUACUCCAUAUUCCUAUGCAUGCCCAGAAUUAACUAAUGCCUCAGUACAUAGGCUCUCUGCAAUAAGCUCCCAACCCAUAACCACUUUUCUGUAGAGUUAUCAACUAUGUAUGUGUUUCUCAGCACCCACUUCCCUUUUCUUUACUUUCCUUAGUUCUUAAAGUUCUGUUUCUAUACUUCCAUUUCCUCUUAGACUUAAGUUUUGCCCCCUUCUUGUGAGCCUUGAUUUAGGACCCAUGAGCUCCCUCUGAACUUGGACACUUGAGGGCUGGUACUACAACACUGCACCUGUCCAUACUAUGAUUUUGAAGCUUGGGUGUGAGCACUUCUCGGGUCCUAUUGAGGCCCUUAGGGAACAUUGACACGCCCAAGUCAGAGAAAGGUUUUGGAUCAGUGAUCUUUGAGUUGAUCUAUCUCAUAACUCAGACAUGAAGUCAAGAAUCAAGCUUUCUCUUGUUGUAAUUAUUUUCUUUAUAUUUUCUACUGUACUUGGUAUACCUGAUUUGUAAUAAG
This 18594-nucleotide long non-coding RNA is filed under the name Nicotiana benthamiana. RNAcentral describes it as "long non-coding RNA (NBEN_LNC031532)". The record is from RNAcentral. Lineage: Eukaryota; Viridiplantae; Streptophyta; Magnoliopsida; Solanales; Solanaceae.